This is a long non-coding RNA of Oreochromis niloticus (Nile tilapia), 4632 nucleotides long. The record is from Ensembl. Lineage: Eukaryota; Metazoa; Chordata; Actinopteri; Cichliformes; Cichlidae.
AGACCAGACAAACAUCACAGCUGAGUCUGGGCAGAACAUCUCGCUGCCAUGUGGAGCUCCAACUAAUAAUAAUCAGGUCUUGGCUGUUCAGUGGAGCAGAGCUGACCUGAAGCAAGAAUAUGUGCUUUUGUACAGAGAUGAGGUUUUUGUUCCAGACAACCAGCAUCCAGCUUUUAAGAACUGGAUGGAUCUGCAGGACAGACAGAUGAAGGAUGUGUCGCGUCUUCAGGAGAGGAACAAACCACAUGAUUAGAACCAUCAGCCUGAGUGUUGUUUCUCCAUGUGAGUCAGCAGAGGUGUAGGUGAAGCCUCUGCAGUAUCUCAAAGCUGUGGACACAGAUGGAUUCUCUCAAGUUCCUCCUGAUUUCAUCCCUAAUUUCUGCAUCUACAUCUCUGCAGCAGGAUGUUCAGGUGAAGCUUGGAGCUGACGUCACUCUCCAGUGUCAGAUUACCACAGAUGAAAUAAUCUCAGUGCUGAAGUGGAGCAGAGCUGACCUGAACACAGACGGCUAUGUCUACUUCUACAGGAACAAACGCUCCUAUGAAAACUACCAACAUCCAUCUUUUCAUGGCCGAGUAAAGCUGAGGGACCCAGAGAUGAAGGAUGGAGACGUUUCUCUGAUCCUGAAGAACGUCACGUUUAAUGACACUGGGAUGUAUGAGUGUCACGUAGCAGUGAGGAAGUCUGGGAGAAGUAAAAGAGCUCACACUGAGAUCAGUCACUUCAUCAACCUCACAGUCACAGGUGAAACACAUGAAAAUAUGCUGGAGAGACACAUCGUGGAGAGAGAAGAUGGAAGUGGAAACAUGUAUGACAUGCAACAGGCUGGAAAUCCGCCUGUCCUCAUGUUUGCUGGAGUUACUGCCAUCAUCAUCGCCAUCAUUGUUCUUCCUGCAUUUCUUUUGUUUGUGCUGCUCCUUAAAAUCAUAAGAAGCAAAAAACUAGCUUUGCCUCCUAAUCAGGAAGCUACUGGUCUGAAAUGUUAAAGUUUCUUUUUUUUAAAGAAACUUUAAACACUGAUAUUUACAUUCUUGCAACAUCAAUUCAUUUUAGUACAUUUUUCAAGUAAUCCAAACUAAAAGAAAUUCUCUGUUUCAGUUGAGCAAUUUUACAGUAUUUAGAGGGGGAAAAAAUAGAAAAAGAAAAAAGCACUCAACAAGUUGUCUGCAGAGAAGCCAUUUGUCUAGAUAACAUUAACCUUUAAAACUGUUUUUUUUUAUGCUAAAAAUAGGUUUAGACUUUGUUUGGAUCUUACAAAAAAAAGCAAUAAUGAAGUAAAUGAGAUUUUCCAUGAAACAGAAAUGACUGAUUCUGUGUCAGAAGUCAUCACCAAUGAUGAUCCAGACCUCAGGAUUAAAAAGGCACAGUUUUAAUGAUAAAAUGAUUUCUGAAGAUGUGCCGCUGGCCUUGAAGCUGAAAAGACUUUAACUCAGGAUACAUUUCAAGUUGCUGAGUUAAAUAGCAAACAUUUUUUAUUAAUGAAAAAAAACUGAGCUUUUAAAAUGUGUAGUUUGAGUUUCUCCUUUUCUUCUUUAACUACAUUUCCCAUAGUGAACAUCUGAGCUUCAGCCCUUUGUUUCCCUGCCUUCUUUGAACUUUCGCAGUUUCUGUUCUUACAUGCUCUGUGUAAAUAAUUUGAUUGGGUGACCAGCAUGACUUAUAAUGCACACGACUGAUCUGUGUUUUCGGCCAGAUUAAAAUAUAUGGGAAUAAGAACCAUAAAUAUGAGAAAAGGUCCACAGAGUGAUCGGUAAUAGAUCUGGGUGCAGAUCCAGUCCGUGGUUUGCAUAUUGGUGAUGUGGCAUUAGAUUUAAAAACAAAAAAUACUCAGUGGCUAAACAUGAAUUCAAACCUCCACACAGGUUUAUGUUAAAGGUAAAAACAGAUUUGUUUGAAGGUUGAUGUGGAUUAAAGGAGCUGUAUCAGCUCUGCAAGUAGAAAACUGAACAGAACCUUAGUCUUAACGUCCUCAUAUUAAUACAGGAAGUUACUGAACACAUGAGACAGAAGCAACAUGUUUUCAUUAUGCUCACCUCAAACAAGCCAACUGAUGAUGCUCAGGUAACAGCAGUGGACGGAAAAAGGCUGGAAUUUGUAUUUUUAGUGCUAUUUUUCUUGGAAUUGUGUGAAUUUUCUUAAUUUAAAUGUAUUAUUUAAUUAAUAAAUUUUUUCCUGUCCUUUCCGAAAGUGUAGCAUUAAGGAUUGCUGAAGGCUAAAAAUGCCCAAUGGUUUACAUUCCCAAGUGGACCAUUAUGGCAUUUUAUGGCAUACAAUUUGCUACAAUGGUCCACUUGAUAGUUAUAAUUUAUUAAAACUUUAUUAGGAUUUUUUUUUAUUUUGAGUUAUUACAACCACAGCAGACAAGAACAGGGGACAGAAAAGAAAAAGAGAGAGCGAAAACCUUGAAAAUCUUCCUCAACACCUGAAAUGAAAACAUACAAAGAAAAUAAAGUUUUAAUUUCAGUGGCAGAUCUCACACACGCUGCUCACUGCUGUAAAACUGAAAAUGAGGUUUAGUGAUUAGAAAACUAAAAAGCUGGAGCCAUAAGGUUCUUACCACAUUAAGAAACUGUGAUUAUGAAAGUUUCAUGCUGACUUGAGAAUUGCUACAACUGACAAACAAAGAAUAUCUUUACACAACACAGUGACCGACCUCUGACUAUAUAAAGAUCAUUUAGAGACAUUUCGCUUUUGUAUUGAAACCGCAAAAUAAAUUCUUUGAUUUGUAUUUAAUUUUGUGUUUCAUUUUAAAAUUUCAUUUUACUGAAAGUUCAUGAACUUCAUGAGAUCUGAAUCCACUCUGUGUCAGCUGCUUUAUGUUCACGCUGAGGUGACCUGUAAUGAUACAUACUCUGCACGAUUAAACUUUCUCCUGCACUCUCUCUGUUUAUCUGCAGUAACAGAAACAGAACAAAUCAUCUUUUUUUCCUCUUCCUCAGUUAAAAAAAGACGUCUAGAUAGUGUGUGACAGAUUUUAUGUUGAUGAUGUUUGAAUAUUUGUGUCUUCUACGAUGAUCCUGGUUGUAACUCAAGCUGCUCUGCUGCCACCUGGAGGCUUGAAAGUGUUAAAGCAUCAAUCUGCAGCUCAGUGAAUGUGACAUCAGAAUAACCAGCACAGCAAAAGAAUCCUGAAUAAACUGAAAUGUUUGCAGUACAGCUGCAGUGCUGAUGGGUCGCACUUCACUUCCGCUCAAAGUGAGAGUCCAGAUUCAAGUUUGAACAAAACUUGCAAAGAAAAAGUUAAAGCUGUUGUGUUGAUAUUUGAAGUGCUUUGAUUAUUUUUGGAUAACAAGAGAACAUGCGCAUCAGCUAAGAAGGAAAAAAGUUCACAUUAACUGAGACUGAUGACUAACUAAACAUAAUUAGUUUUAUUUUUGAGCAGCUGAAAGUAGCUACAAGCUAUGUCCUCUUUCAAAGUUACAGCAAUCUACACACAGAUCUUCAGGUAUCUGUUACAAAUUGGUAUGAAAGCUUUUGUACAAACAGUUCCGCUGCGUUUAUUACCUUUAAUUGUUAAACAAGUCAACGGACUUGCUGUAGUAAGAAGUUACCUUUAUGAGAUUAUGCCUUUAUCCCAAUUCAGGGUCUGCAGCCUUGGAGCAUGUGGCCUUCGCGAUCUACGUGGGCCAUGUCCUCAAAGACCGAGAAGGCCGGAAGUGUGCUUGUGAAAUGGGACGGUCUAACCUCCAUCCCCAGGUUGCCUAGCAACCAUGAUACUAACAGCCGGAAACGUUUCAUACAUCAUUGUUUGACAGAAAUUAAGGAGAAAAUCUUUUGUUCAUUUGUUUGUUUGUUUGUUUUUACAUGAGCUCUGUGUGAUUUGAUAAGUAUCUGAGGCUGAGACCACAGGACUGUAAAACAUGAUAGUUGGGCUUCAUUUCUGGUGUGGGUGCAGCAGGUCUGACAAGAACUGAGGGAUUUGUAAGUGAGAAAAAAGUAUCUUGUAAGUAGUGUGUGACUUUAGUGAAUGCCCAUGGAGAUUUGAGGGUGGAGGUGAUGUGUUGUUCAGACUGCUGUAAAAUGUCAGAAAAGGUCAAAUUUGACCCAAACAGAAAGUAAAGGGUUGAGGAAAUAUUAAAUACUGACACUUCAGUAACUACAUUUAUCAAGUACACCACACUGAAGGACAUCUCUGCUGUCCAUUAAUGUCAAAUCAAGUAGUUGCAUUAAAUUUCAGACAUUGCGAGUGAUAAUUUCAAAAACUACCUCACUUCCUGUGUCACAUCGUCACAUGAAGUCAGAUGUUUCAUCUACCCAGUUGUUUAUUUGAGCAGUGUUACAUUUUUCGGAAAAAAAAAAUAAAGCAGAAAGACUGACACAAUGUUUGCAGAUGUAUUAGCAACAUUUACCUCAAAACUGUAAGUGUAAAAAAAAAGUCUAUUGAGGCCGGUAAACCUUCUACAAACCAUAACAUUAAAAAAUGAGUCAAGCUGAGCCAAUGUAUUGAGUUAAAAAAAAAAAAACAGUAGGAAACUGCUCAGUGAAUAAACAUCCACUCAGUGUUAAAUUAGAUUGAAUCAAGUUUUCUUAAAAGUCUAAUGAGCCAAAUUUUUACUUUUUUUCUAACCAAAAGUAGAAGUAAUAGUAUGUCUUUUUUUUAGGUGAAAUCUGCGAAGUAGCCAACUUUAUUU